UUGGCACGGAGCUGUUAGUUGAAAGCUGGAAAAAUGGAUAAACAGAGCCUGACAUAGUCAUUCUAGAAUUGAUUUGUAUAGGUCCAGAAAAGGGUCAGAGUUCAGCGGCUCGAGUCUCAAAGAGCCAAAGGAAGACAAGGUAAGAAGCCAGGUUUCCGCUCUGGCAAGCUCGGGCCGGAACUUGAAGGCACGUUCCUGGCUCUUCCUUAUUAUCGUAACCUCUGGAAGCGAACACGCUGCUUGCGAAGACAGUGAACGCUGUCCAGUGGAUUCGAUCAUUUUUGACCAAGAAAGCGUACGGGAUUGAGCGGUACAGAGAAAAGAAGGGAAUAAAAAAACCCCAAAACAACGUGGCCCCGGUGGCUGGAAGUGCCGUGCUCGGGGCGAACUAGAACCCUGAACUGGAAGCAGCCGCUCGCACGAGGACGCCAUGAGGCAUCCUCUCCUUGGAAGGCAGUCUGCAAAGUGGUUCUUUCCUGGCUGUCGCUCCGCUCUUCUUCCGAGGCUGUUUCGACUCGGAGCGUGCGGGAGGAGCGCCAAGCCCAGCCGUGACCUGGUGGCCCCGGGAGCUGCCGGCGCAGCCCGCCAAGCCCUGGUGGACCGCAGCCAGGAGGGAGGGUCUCUUUAACUGUGCGGUUCCCUGGGCCUGUCUCACGCGCAGGCCUGGAGCUGAGGAACAGAAAUCAAGGGGAAUGUUGUAUUUCCCUGAGAAAAACAAGUCUUCUGCCCCUUUUCCUCUUGUGAACUGCACGCUUGGCCUCACUUUCCCACUGCUGGAUCUCUUUGAACCCUUGGACCCUCACCCUUUCCCUUUGCACUCUAAAUCUGGACUGGAUUUUUUUUUUUUUUUUUAAAGGCAGAGCAACAGAGAGAGGGAGAGACUGAGAUCUUCCAUCCACUGGUUCACUUCUAAAUGACAACCCGGGCAGAGGCCACCGCCUGGAACUGCAUCAGGGUCUCCCAUCUGGGUGACAGAUGCCCAAGUGGAGCGGCCUGGACUCCAACCUGCACUCACUGGGGCUGCCGGCAGUGCAGCAGAGAGAGCUGCACCUGCUGUGCCAUCAGUGACUGGGAUUUCUUAUUCUCCUUAACAUGUGUGAAUCAUGGUGCUACGAUGAGAGUUGGUGAUUUAUGGCUUUGGAGGGCAUGCGUGUGUAUGAUUAAGGGAUGCCUUUCGUCAAGACCACCCGUCAAAACAGGAAGAUAA
Long non-coding RNA from Oryctolagus cuniculus (rabbit), 1207 nucleotides. The record is from Ensembl. Lineage: Eukaryota; Metazoa; Chordata; Mammalia; Lagomorpha; Leporidae.